Molecule: long non-coding RNA, 652 nt
Filed under: Bos indicus x Bos taurus (hybrid cattle)
Lineage: Eukaryota; Metazoa; Chordata; Mammalia; Artiodactyla; Bovidae
Description: lncRNA (ENSBIXG00000011351.1)
Source: RNAcentral
CUGGGAGGGGAAGAUGGGGGGCAGGGCGAGGGAGGAGGGAGUAAGAAUUGAAGAGCUGAUAUUUUUGUUCAAGCAGAAACACACACAUAAUUUGAAGAAAUCAUACAAAUAUAAUCACACACAGAUUAGGUAGAGCCAUUACUACAAUCACCUGAAGAAAUAUAUUAUUUCUCUUACUCAUGGGUUUAAUUUCAGUCUCUUAUUUUGAACUAACUGAGCAGCGUGGUGUCAUACAAUGGACAGGGUGGGGGAAACCGAAGCUUGGAAUCUCCAGCCUGCUAGCUCAGGUCUCCUGUUGCAAUGUUGCCCUUAACCUCGCUGGACAUCAACUACACCAGAAGAGCACUGGCUAUGAUCACUGGAGUGGCUUCCACUUCAGCAGGGAUCGGAGUAACACCUAACUGCUUUCAUUCCGUGAAAGUGGCCCUACGACAGAGGUCGUGGAAACACUAUUCUUGGAGCUAUGAAACUUUUUAAAGGAAGGUUCAUUGUUCUACAGAGACACAUCAGGUAUCCAUAUUUCUUUCAAAUAUUUCCCCUCAUAAGUUAUGAUUUGCGAGCUUUUAGUCUUUGGAAUUCUUAGUACCUGCUUUCUUCCUAAACGUGAAGUUGCUAACCUAGACCUUGCUGAAGAUUUUCAUCUUAUUAUGAG